AACGAACGCUGGCGGCAGGCUUAACACAUGCAAGUCGAACGCCCCGCAAGGGGAGUGGCAGACGGGUGAGUAACGCGUGGGAACAUACCCUUUUCUACGGAAUAGCUCUGGGAAACUGGAAUUAAUACCGUAUACGCCCUACGGGGGAAAGAUUUAUCGGGGAAGGAUUGGCCCGCGUUGGAUUAGCUAGUUGGUGGGGUAAAGGCCUACCAAGGCGACGAUCCAUAGCUGGUCUGAGAGGAUGAUCAGCACAUUGGGACUGAGACACGGCCCAAACUCCUACGGGAGGCAGCAGUGGGGAAUAUUGGACAAUGGGCGCAAGCCUGAUCCAGCCAUGCCGCGUGAGUGAUGAAGGCCUUAGGGUUGUAAAGCUCUUUCACCGAUGAAGAUAAUGACGGUAGUCGGAGAAGAAGCCCCGGCUAACUUCGUG
This 430-nucleotide ribosomal RNA is filed under the name uncultured bacterium. Its description in RNAcentral is "partial 16S ribosomal RNA". It matches the Rfam family "Bacterial small subunit ribosomal RNA", at positions 29 to 507 of the family's 1533-position model. The record is from RNAcentral.